This 737-nucleotide ribosomal RNA is filed under the name uncultured phototrophic eukaryote. RNAcentral describes it as "bacterial SSU rRNA". It matches the Rfam family "Bacterial small subunit ribosomal RNA", at positions 29 to 816 of the family's 1533-position model. The record is from RNAcentral.
AUUGUGACGCUGGCGGUAUGCCUUACACAUGCAAGUCGAACGAGAGUUUUUAACUCAAGUGGCGGACGGGUGAGUAACACCGUAAGAAUCUACCCUUAGGAGGGGGACAACAGUUGGAAACGACUGCUAAUACCCCAUAUGCUUUCGAGUAAAAUAGUUUUCUGCCUAAGGAAGAGCUUGCGGCUGAUUAGCUAGUUGGUAGGGUAAAGGCCUACCAAGGCGGACUGAUCAGUAUCUGGUUUGAGAGGACGAUCAGACACACUUGGAACUGAGACACGGUCCAGACUCCUACGGGAGGCAGCAGUGGGGAAUUUUCCGCAAUGGGCGAAAGCCUGACGGAGCAAUACCCGCGUGAGGGAUUAAGGCCUGUGGGUUGUAAACCUCUUUUUUCAGGGAGGAAGAUCUGACGUGUACCUGAAGAAUAAGCAUCGGCUAACUCCGUGCCAGCAGCCGCGGUAAGACGGAGGAUGCAAGGUGUUAUCCGGAAUCACUUGGGCGUAAAGCGUCUGUAGGUGGUUUAAUAAGUCGACUGUUAAAUCUUGAGGCUCACUUCAAAAUCCAUUCGAAACUAUUAGACUUGAGUAUAGUAGAGGUAAAGGGAAUUCUAGUGGAGCGGUGAAAAUGCGUAGAUUUAGAAAGAACCCAUUGCAAAGCACUUUCUUGCUAUACUGACCUCAAAACGAAGCUAGGGUACCAAUGGGAUUAAAUCCCCAGUAUCCUAGCCGAACAAUGGAUCU